GUGAAUCAUCAAAUUUUUGAACGCAAAUUGCACUCUCCGGUUUUCCGGGAGAGUAUGCCUGUUUGAGGGUCAGCCUAAAAAAAAUCGACAUUGUUGCUGUUUUAUGGUGACUUUCGUCGGAGAUGGGUUAUCUUAAAUCUCGGUUUAAGCGACUUAAAAAUUUUUUUUAGGUUCUAAGGAUUGUUUUAAGGAUUUUUCUUGUACGUUAAAGUU
Molecule: unclassified non-coding RNA, 213 nt
Filed under: Glomeraceae sp.
Lineage: Eukaryota; Fungi; Glomeromycota; Glomeromycetes; Glomerales; Glomeraceae
Description: partial contains 5.8S ribosomal RNA and internal transcribed spacer 2
Rfam family: 5.8S ribosomal RNA (bases 1-72)
Source: RNAcentral